CUUCCGCAUCAGGUUUCUUUUCCU
Molecule: non-coding RNA, 24 nt
Filed under: Arabidopsis thaliana (thale cress)
Lineage: Eukaryota; Viridiplantae; Streptophyta; Magnoliopsida; Brassicales; Brassicaceae
Source: RNAcentral